This 515-nucleotide ribosomal RNA is filed under the name uncultured bacterium. Its description in RNAcentral is "partial 16S ribosomal RNA". It matches the Rfam family "Bacterial small subunit ribosomal RNA", at positions 28 to 523 of the family's 1533-position model. The record is from RNAcentral.
GAUGAACGCUGGCGGCGUGCCUAAUACAUGCAAGUCGAGCGAAUGGAUUAAGAGCUUGCUCUUAUGAAGUUAGCGGCGGACGGGUGAGUAACACGUGGGUAACCUGCCCAUAAGACUGGGAUAACUCCGGGAAACCGGGGCUAAUACCGGAUAACAUUUUGAACCGCAUGGUUCGAAAUUGAAAGGCGGCUUCGGCUGUCACUUAUGGAUGGACCCGCGUCGCAUUAGCUAGUUGGUGAGGUAACGGCUCACCAAGGCAACGAUGCGUAGCCGACCGUGUAGGGUGAUCGGCAACGCGUGGAAUGAGACACGGCCCAGACUCCUACGGGAGGCAGCAGUAGGGAAUCUUCCGCAAUGGACGAAAGUCUGACGGGGCAACGCCGCGUGAGUGAUGAAGGCUUUCGGGUCGUAAAACUCUGUUGUUAGGGAAGAACAAGUGCUAGUUGAAUAAGCCGGCACCUUGACGGUACCUAACCAGAAAGCCACGGCUAACUACGUGCCAGCCGCCGCCGUAA